GUCACGCAGCCCCCGGCGCGGCGGGCUCAGGGCAGGAGGCCGCAGCGGGCCGCCCGCCUGCCGGGGAACAGAGGCGGGUACCAGGGGCUAGCACGGCCCGGCGGGAACGCCGGGGAAAGGCCGGAGGAGGGAGGUGGUGCCCGCACGGGCCUCAUCCUCGGCGGCCCUGGCGAGACACCGACACGGGGGGGAUGGGGAAGGGGCGCGCCCCCACCGUCUUCUAGCCCGGUUACCUGUGGCGCCGAGCAGGAAGUCCAGGGUGCUGUGCCGCGCUGCUGCUGCCAUAUUACAGUUCCACACAGGCACCCUGAGCAAAGCAGAAACAUUCACUGGAGGUGUGCAUCAGAGACGCACUACAGACAUCUGCAGGUUUUUUUUUUCAGAUAUGCAGCUGCCACAAGACAACCAGUAAUAUCCCUGCAGUUUACAAUCUCUUACAUCUCAGCUUCAGUUGUGGCUGCUGCAGUGGUUUCAGUUACCUCAUUCCAUAAAGGAUUGAUUUUGACUCUCUUCAGUGGGAGCAACGCCUUGUGUUCCAUUCAACCUAUUACAUUGUCUUUCCACUGUGGAAUAAUUGGAAGAAGCAUCAGAAUUCUGGAAGGUUUUCUGCAAAGUGGUGAGAGGUGA
Long non-coding RNA from Corvus moneduloides (New Caledonian crow), 627 nucleotides. Lineage: Eukaryota; Metazoa; Chordata; Aves; Passeriformes; Corvidae. The record is from Ensembl.